CCUACGGGAGGCAGCAGUGAGGAAUAUUGGUCAAUGGGCGGGAGCCUGAACCAGCCAAGUCGCGUGAGGGAAGACGGUCCUAUGGAUUGUAAACCUCUUUAGGCGGGGAGCAAUGCCGGGCGCGCGUGCCCGGAGGGAGAUUACCCGCAGAAUAAGCAUCGGCUAACUCCGUGCCAGCAGCCGCGGUAAUACGGAGGAUGCGAGCGUUAUCCGGAUUUAUUGGGUGUAAAGGGAGCGUAGGCGGGGAUGCAAGUUGGGUGUCAAAACUACCGGCUCAACUGGUAGUCGCACUCAAAACUGCAGCUCUUGAGUGAAGUAGAGGCAGGCGGAAUUCCUAGUGUAGCGGUGAAAUGCGUAGAUAUCGAGAGGAACACUCGUGGCGAAGGCGGGUUCCUGGACAUUAACUGACGCUGAGGCACGAAGGCCAGGGGAGCGAAAGGGAUUAGAUACCCGUGUAGUC
This 460-nucleotide ribosomal RNA is filed under the name uncultured bacterium. RNAcentral's name for it is "partial 16S ribosomal RNA". It matches the Rfam family "Bacterial small subunit ribosomal RNA", at positions 338 to 795 of the family's 1533-position model. The record is from RNAcentral.